CCUACGGGUGGCAGCAGUGGGGAAUAUUGGGCAAUGGGCGCAAGCCUGACCCAGCAAUGCCGCGUGAAGGAAGAAGGCUUUCGGGUUGUAAACUUCUUUGACAGGGGAAGAGCAGAAGACGGUACCCUGAAAACAAGCUACGGCUAACUACGUGCCAGCAGCCGCGGUAAUACGGAGGUGGCAAGCGUUGUCCGGAUUUACUGGGUGUAAAGGGUGUGUAGCCGGGAAGGGAAGUCAGAUGUGAAAUCUGGAGGCUCAACCGACAAAUUGCAUUUGAAACUGUUUUUCUUGAGUACUGGAGAGGCAGACGGAAUUCCUUGUGUAGCGGUGAAAUGCGUAGAUAUAAGGAGGAACACCGGUGGCGAAGGCGGUCUACUGGACAGCAACUGACGGUGAGGCGCGAAAGCGUGGGGAGCAAACAGGAUUAGAUACCCGAGUAGUC
Molecule: ribosomal RNA, 442 nt
Filed under: uncultured bacterium
Lineage: Bacteria
Description: partial 16S ribosomal RNA
Rfam family: Bacterial small subunit ribosomal RNA
Source: RNAcentral